Molecule: ribosomal RNA, 274 nt
Filed under: uncultured bacterium
Lineage: Bacteria
Description: partial 16S ribosomal RNA
Rfam family: Bacterial small subunit ribosomal RNA
Source: RNAcentral
CUACGUACUGUGCAAACGUUAUUCGGAAUCACUGGGCUUAAAGGGUGCGUAGGCGGUCAGAUAAGUAGGAUGUGAAAUCCCCCGGCCUAACCGGGGAACUGCGUUCUAAACUGUCUGACUCGAGUGAGAUAGGGGUGUGUGGAACUUCCAGUGGAGCGGUGAAAUGUGUUGAGAUUGGAAGGAACGCCGGUGGCGAAAGCGACACACUGGGUCUUAACUGACGCUGAGGCACGAAAGCUAGGGUAGCGAACGGGAUUAGAAACCCCAGUAGUCC